This 1541-nucleotide ribosomal RNA is filed under the name Scyliorhinus torazame (cloudy catshark). The record is from RNAcentral. Lineage: Eukaryota; Metazoa; Chordata; Chondrichthyes; Carcharhiniformes; Scyliorhinidae.
GAAUUCUUUGAGGAGGUGACCAAGCAUGUGGAUGAAGGUAAAGCAGUGGAUGUAGUGUACAUGGAUUUUAGUAAGGCAUUUGAUAAGGUUCCCCAUGGUAGGCUUAUGCAGAAAGUAAGGAGGCAUGGGAUAAUGGGAAAUUUGGCCAGUUGGAUAACGAACUGGCUAACCGAUAGAAGUCAGAGAGUGGUGGUGGAUGGCAAAUAUUCAGCCUGGAUCCCAGUUACCAGUGGCGUACCUCAGGGAUCAGUUCUGGGUCCUCUGCUGUUUGUGAUUUUCAUUAAUGACUUGGAUGAGGGAGUUGAAGGGUGGGUCAGUAAAUUUGCAGACUAUACGAAGAUUGGUGGAGUUGUGGAUAGUAAGGAGGGCUGUUGUCGGCUGCAAAGAGACAUAGAUAGGAUGCAGAGCUGGGCUGAGAAGUGGCAGAUGGAGUUUAACCCUGAAAAGUGUGAGGUUGUCCAUUUUGGAAGGACAAAUAUGAAUGCGGAAUACAGGGUUAACGGUAGAGUUCUUGGCAAUGUGGAGGAGCAGAGAGAUCUUGGGGUCUAUGUUCAUACAUCUUUGAAAGUUGCCACUCAAGUGGAUAGAGCUGUGAAGAAGGCCUAUGGUGUGCUCGCGUUCAUUAACAGAGGGAUUGAAUUUAAGAGCUGUGAGAUGAUGAUGCAGCUGUACAAAACUUUGGUAAGGCCACAUUUGGAGUACUGUGUACAGUUCUGGUCGCCUCAUUUUAGGAAGGAUGUGGAAGCUUUGGAAAAGGUGCGAAGAAGAUUUACCAGGAUGUUGCCUGGAAUGGAGAGUAGGUCUUGCGAGGAAAGGUUGAGGGUGCUAGGCCUCUUCUCAUUAGAACGGAGAAGGAUGAGGGGCGACUUGAUAGAGGUUAUAAGAUGAUCAGUGGAAUAGAUAGAGUAGACAGUCAGAGACUUUUUAAACCAUUACAAGGGGACAUACAUUUAAGGUGGAAGAUAUAGGAGGGAUAUCAGAGGUAGGUUCUUUACCCAGAGAGCAGUGGGGGCAUGGAAUGCACUGCCUGUGGAAGUAGUUGAGUUGGAAACAUUAGGGACCUUCAAGCAGUUAUUGGAUAGGUACAUAGAUUAUGGUAAAAUGAUAUAGUGUAGAUUUAUUUGUUCUUAAGGGCAGCACGGUAGCAUUGUGGAUAGCACAAUUGCUUCACAGCUCCAGGGUCCCAGGUUCGAUCCGGCUUGGGUCACUGCCCGUGCGGAGUCUGCACAUCCUCCCCGUGUCUGCGUGGGUUUCCUCCGGGUGCUCCGGUUUCCUCCCACAGUCCAAAGAUGUGCCGGUUAGGUGGAUUGGCGAAUGAUAAAUUGCCCUUAAUGUCCAAAAUUGCCCUUGGUGUUGGGUGGAGGUGUUGAGUUUGGGUAGGGUGCUCUUUCCAAGAGCCGGUGCAGACUCAAAGGGCCGAAUGGCUCCUUCUGCACUGAAAAUUCAAUGAUAAUCUAUGAUUAAUCUAGGACAAAGGUUCGGCACAACAUCGUGGGCCGAAGGCCUGUUCUGUGCUGUAUUUUCUAUGUUCUAUGUUCUAU